AUGGUGAGGAAAUAGGUCAUACUCAUUAGCAUAGUCAUAGAGGAAGAACAGUGUUUAAUAAUAGGCCUGGCUGAAAUAGGCUAGCAGUGAAACUAGAAGGGCAAAAUUAUUCUGUUAAUGAAGAAUUAAUGAAGAUUUUCGAGUUUCCUUAGGUAACCCAAGAAGAAAGGUGUGAAAAAGGAAGGAGUGAAUGAGAUAAGAAUGGGGAGGAGGAUGUGAGGAAGGAAUACAUCAAGAUGCCAGGGAGCUGAGCAAGAGGCAGCCAGGGAGAAGUUCUGGGCUAUGGCCAAGGAUCUUUAAAGAGCAAGGAUCUUUAAAUAGUCAGUUUUAAGAUGUUUGGUGCAGCCUAAAUUCCUCUUCCUCUUCCCCUGCCUGAAUCUUCCGUAAGAAUCUACUACACAGAGAUGCCUUGUAUCUGCAGCAUUUUGAGAAGAGGGAAAGAGGCUGUUGCUUUGGGAAUGAUGCAGAGUGGAGAAAAAGAACAGCCAAAAGAGGCUAGACUUGAGAGAAAUUACAGUAAUUCAGUAAAAGCAGGAAAUAAUAGAAAAACAUUGACUCCAAAGAUCCUGGAAGGUGCCAGCAAGUGAGGUUAGGUUUCCCACUGUAGAUGUAAUGGAAACAUGGUUUCCCCACCAACUUCGAGGCUUGAGAGCAUUCAGAAAAAGUUUGGUCAACCUUGUAGGGGAACCAGCCCGCUAUACCACCCGCGGGUUCUCCCCUUCCCAGUGGAGACGAGGGAAUGAGAAAAGAAAUAAAGACAAACACACAAAGUUCAAGAGUUAACAAAAGUGGGUCCAGGGGUCCAUCGCAAUGUGGAAACUGCGACAGCCCUGAGCUCUGGAUUCCACUGAUAUUUACUGAAUAAUCCUUAAAGUCCAACUAAUUGGUUAACAGAACAGGACGUGAAAGCAGACAGCCCGUCAGACCACAGGCCUGUGCAUCAAAGGAGCGGUCCACUCCAAGCACCAUCAGCAGGGCAGCAGAGCUCUCUGCCUCUGGGAACGAGCGAGAGAUAGAAGACUUUCCCCUUAUCCUCAGAGGACUUCUCCUCUUUUACAAGCAACCUCCUGCUGUUCCCUUCUGGGGAAUGGAGCAGGGGUCGCUUCCCUUCCCACAAGACCUUUGUUCAGGGACUCAAGUGGGAGGUUGAGCAAUAAGCAAGCUUUCUUGCUUAGAGGCUCCGCACACUUCCUGUGGUUGUUUGUUCCACCCUGCAGUUAGGCAAGCAAGCUCACCGCCUGAUUCUUAUAUUGUCGGACUAAGCAGAAGCUAUUCUUAUGAUUCAUGACUAUAUUAAUAAAGCACUAUUCUAAAGCA
Molecule: long non-coding RNA, 1317 nt
Filed under: Homo sapiens (human)
Lineage: Eukaryota; Metazoa; Chordata; Mammalia; Primates; Hominidae
Description: FGL1 antisense RNA 1 (FGL1-AS1)
Source: RNAcentral